This 452-nucleotide ribosomal RNA is filed under the name uncultured bacterium. Its description in RNAcentral is "bacterial SSU rRNA". It matches the Rfam family "Bacterial small subunit ribosomal RNA", at positions 341 to 786 of the family's 1533-position model. The record is from RNAcentral.
UAGGGAGGCAGCAGUGGGGAAUAUUGCACAAUGGGCGCAAGCCUGAUGCAGCCAUGCCGCGUGUAUGAAGAAGGCCUUCGGGUUGUAAAGUACUUUCAGUCGUGAGGAAGGUGUUAAGGUUAAUAACCUUAGCAAUUGACGUUAGCGACAGAAGAAGCACCGGCUAACUCCGUGCCAGCAGCCGCGGUAAUACGGAGGGUGCGAGCGUUAAUCGGAAUUACUGGGCGUAAAGGGCACGCAGGCGGUUAAUUAAGUUGGAUGUGAAAUCCCCGGGCUUAACCUGGGAAUGGCAUUCAAGCUGGUUAGCUAGAGUCUUGUAGAGGGGGUAGAAUUCCAUGUGUAGCGGUGAAAUGCGUAGAGAUGUGGAGGAAUACCGGUGGCGAAAGGCGGCCCCUGGACAAAGACUGACGCUCAUGUGCGAAAGCGUGGGGAGCAAACAGGGAUUAGAUACC